RNAcentral lists this ribosomal RNA (1702 nucleotides) under bioreactor sludge metagenome. RNAcentral describes it as "bacterial LSU rRNA". It matches the Rfam family "Bacterial large subunit ribosomal RNA", at positions 785 to 2499 of the family's 2925-position model. The record is from RNAcentral.
AACGUUGAAAAGUUUUCGGAUGACCUGUGGGUAGGGGUGAAAGGCUAAUCAAACUGGGAAAUAGCUCGUACUCUCCGAAAUGUAUUUUGGUACAGCCUCGAGGUUGAGUAUUACAGAGGUAGAGCUACCGAUAGGACUAGGGGGCUUCACCGCCUACCAAAUCCUGACGAACUCCGAAUGCUGUAAUAUAUACUCGGGAGUGAGCCCAUGGGUGCUAAGGUCCGUGGGCGAGAGGGAAAGAACCCAGACCAUCAGCUAAGGUCCCUAAAUGUAUGCUAAGUUGAUAAAACGUGGUGUGAUUGCACUGACAGCUAGGAUGUUUGCUUGGAAGCAGCCAUUCAUUUAAAGAGUGCGUAACAGCUCACUAGUCGAGCGAUCAUGCGUGGAUAAUAAUCGGGCAUAAAGCAUACUACCGAAGCUAUGGACUCAGUAAUGAGUGGUAGGAGAGCAUUCUUGCGGUGUCGAAGGUGUAGCGUGAGCUAUGCUGGAACUUCAAGAAAAGCAAAUGUAGGUAUAAGUAACGAUAAUGCGGGUGAAAAACCCGCACACCGAUAGACUAAGGUUUCCUGAUCAACGCUAAUCGGAUCAGGGUUAGUCGGGGCCUAAGGCGAAACCGAAGGGUGUAGUCGAUGGACAACAGGUUAAUAUUCCUGUACAAGCAAUUAUUGCGACGGGGUGACGGAGUAGUGAAAGAUUCGCGUACUGACGGAAUAGUACGUUAAAAGGUGUAGAUAUAUCUUGUGUAGGAAAAUCCGCACGGGAUGUCGAACCCGAUAGUACCUCAAAGCUUCGGCUGAGGGGAUAGUAAUCCUAAACAUGCUUCCAAGAAAAACCUCUAAGCUUCAGAUAGUUGCUUCCCGUACCGCAAACCGACACAGGUAGUCAAGGAGAGAAUCCUAAGGUGCUAGAGUGAAUCACGGUUAAGGAACUCGGCAAAUUGGCCCCGUAACUUAGGGAUAAGGGGCGCUUCCCUCGCAAGAGGAAGCCGCAGUGAAAAGGCUCAGGCGACUGUUUAUCAAAAACACAGGACUCUGCUAAAUCGAAAGAUGAUGUAUAGGGUCUGACACCUGCCCGGUGCUGGAAGGUUAAGAGGAGAGGUUAGUCGUAAGGCGAAGCUUUGAAUUGAAGCCCCAGUAAACGGCGGCCGUAACUAUAACGGUCCUAAGGUAGCGAAAUUCCUUGUCGGGUAAGUUCCGACCUGCACGAAUGGUGUAACGAUCUGGGCGCUGUCUCAGCCAUGAGCUCGGUGAAAUUGUAGUCACGGUGAAGAUGCCGUGUACCCGCAACGGGACGGAAAGACCCCGUGCACCUUUACUAUAGCUUCACAUUGGUAUUGGGAGAAUGAUGUGUAGGAUAGGCGGGAGGCAAUGAUCCGUGGCCGCUAGGUUACGGGGAGUCAAUGGUGAAAUACCGCCCUUUAUUUUCUUGAUGCCUAAUCCGCCAAAAGGCGGAGACAUUGUGUGGUGGGUAGUUUGACUGGGGUGGUCGCCUCCAAAAAAGUAUCGGAGGCUUUCAAAGGUACCCUCAGCACGCUUGGUAACCGUGCGUGGAGUGCAAUAGCAUAAGGGUGCUUGACAGUGAGACAUACAGGUCGAUCUGGUACGAAAGUAGGAUAUAGUGAUCCGGCGGUUCUGCAUGGAAGGGCCGUCGCUCAAAGGAUAAAAGGUACGCCGGGGAUAACAGGCUGAUCUCCCCCAAGAGC